This 229-nucleotide ribosomal RNA is filed under the name uncultured bacterium. Its description in RNAcentral is "partial 16S ribosomal RNA". It matches the Rfam family "Bacterial small subunit ribosomal RNA", at positions 104 to 334 of the family's 1533-position model. The record is from RNAcentral.
CGGGGUGAGUAAUGUAUGGGGAUCUGCCUGAUGGGGGGGGAUAACUACUGGAAACGGUAGCUAAUACCGCAUAAUGUCUGCGGACCAAAGCGGGGGACCUCCGGGCCUCGCGCCAUCAGAUGAACCCAUAUGGGAUUAGCUAGUAGGUAAGGUAACGGCUUACCUAGGCGACGAUCCCUAGCUGGUCUGAGAGGAUGAUCAGCCACACUGGGACUGAGACACGGCCCAG